UAUUAUUAUUUAUUUUUACAUUUCUUUUUCUUUUUUCUUUUUCAUUUCUUUUUCUUUUUCUUUCGGGCACGUGGGGAAAACAACUCCCCUUCUUCUUCUUCAACCUUCUUCUUCCUCUCUCUCUCUCUCUCUCUCUCUCUUUCUCUCUCUCCCCUUCCUCCUCUCCUCCUCUCUCUAGGCCCCACCUCAAAUGCACCAUUUCCGGCCGCCGGACACGCGCCGGACAGCGUAGUAGCCCACGGCUGGGCGACCCCGACCGUCGAAUCUCCUGCCGGUUGGACUGCAGACGCGCCGGGAUCGACGCCCAACGCCGACGGCCGGCAUCCUCCUUGUCGGCCGGUUUUUCGACGGCCACCGGUUGUGUGACUAGUCCUUUCCUCCUAUUUUGGAUCUCCUGAUCUCAAAAAUGGCCUCCAUCUAUUGAAAUUUCAAACGGAUUGAGAGAUAUGUUGAAGGGAAGUUCGGCCGAGAUUUCUUUGUUAUUUUCCGGUCAUCGCCGGUCGAAUUGGAGUCCAACGGAAAUCGAGUUUUUAGAUGCACCAUACACAUACCGAUGUUCUAUAGCUGUGGAUGUAAUUAGCGCGCGAGCUGAUAUGAUGAGAGGGCAGGUUGUAUACUCUCCUGUGGUUACCAUUGAAUCGAGGGUAGGCAAGUUUGAUAUUGGCCGUAGCAGCCCCCUCCAUGGCUGGGAUUGAGGUUUACAACAUCGGUGCUGCUGGGACACCAGGGGUGCCUGAAUUCAGUAUUAAGUGGGUGGUAUGGGUGGUGUGGGCGGACGCGAACAUUUAAAGGUAUAUUUUUGUUCUUUACUUAUUAGUUUAUUUUUAUUGUAUAUAUGUUUUCAUAUAGUUUGAUAUCGAAGUGCUGCAAAUUGUGAAAAUUAUUGUAGUAAGGUGGGAGGAAGAAGGUGAUGUUUAUAGGAGUGUGUUUUCUACGCAGAAAAUUUUAAGCUUAGUCCAAUCAUGAGGGAAGAUUCUAUCGGAUUUUCCAUUGGAGGAUUCGGUAGGGUAGGGUUUCCUGGAUCACGCUUGUUUAGGGUUUCGAUAACAGAUCUUGGACGAGUCUUGAUACUUGUAAAUUUUUCUAAUGCUUUUGGACAAAAUAGUUACAACGGUAUUUAAAUAAAUGUUACAAAAUCAUUAAAAAAAUGCAAACAAAAUUUACAAACAAAUAAAAGAAUUAAAAAUGCACUGCCGACGCUACAAACAUGUAGCAGCGUCGGCUUUGGUCUUUUCUUUCGA
Ziziphus jujuba (common jujube) is the source of this 1241-nucleotide long non-coding RNA. RefSeq lists it as uncharacterized. The record is from RefSeq and is a predicted model, not a curated record. NCBI's taxonomy places the organism in Eukaryota, Viridiplantae, Streptophyta, Magnoliopsida, Rosales, Rhamnaceae. The transcript is spliced from 3 exons.